UUGGGAUUAAUAUUAUUAAUUCUAAAUCAAUAACAAUUUUUUUUUUUUUAAGUAAAUUGUUACAGCCCACAAUGGGCAUUUAAAUAACAGUCCCAGCCCAUGCCAUCGAGCCCAGCAGUAGUAGCAGCCCAGACCAGUGGCCCAAACCCAGUUAGGGUUUGAAUCAGCUGCAGGCUUGCAGCAGCCGCCGCUGCUCCUGUUUUUCGAUGCCGGUCGUCGCAGCUCGAAGCCCCGCCGGAGGAGGCUGCGACAUCUCCAAGAGCGCGCGCGUCUCCUCUGUACAAAUCGGUUCAGAGCCACGCCGGAGGAGGUCGCGGCAUCAUCGAUAGUCGCGUGCCAGCGGUUUCUCCCCGCCGGCACACCCCCUUCCGUCUGUUGCGGCUCAAAACAUUAUGGCGGUUGUGAACAGCCGCCAAACACCAUUGUCAGUCUCGCACUACCUUUCCUUCAACCACCGUCGCCCCCACCACGCUGGCGAUCAAGCUUUUGCGGUGGGACAAGGUUUCGGAGUAAGAGAAGCGCGCCGGCUCAAAGCCACGACGCGAUGCAGAUGGCGGUAGGUGGUCGGGCGCAGCACACCCGGCGAGCCCCGAGCCACCUGUGGGUCCGACCGCGCGAUUCCUUCCAGUAACAGUCUCCCCCGCGCCGGUAUCCAAAACCACGCCAGUGGGACUGUUACAAAGAGGCAGAGAGGCAGCGGCGCUUUGGUUCGGAAGCCACAUCGUGUUGCAGACGGCGGUAGGUGGUCAGGCGCGGCACAACGGGGAGCCCUGAGCCACCUUUCGCCGCCUCGUUUAACGAAGUUUCCGGCUCCCACGCCACCUUAGUCGCCACUGCCAGUGGCGGUCGAAGUUGUC
This 857-nucleotide long non-coding RNA is filed under the name Salvia miltiorrhiza (redroot sage). RNAcentral describes it as "long non-coding RNA (SMIL_LNC009085)". The record is from RNAcentral. Lineage: Eukaryota; Viridiplantae; Streptophyta; Magnoliopsida; Lamiales; Lamiaceae.